Molecule: ribosomal RNA, 254 nt
Filed under: uncultured bacterium
Lineage: Bacteria
Description: partial 16S ribosomal RNA
Rfam family: Bacterial small subunit ribosomal RNA
Source: RNAcentral
GACGAACCGUGCGAACGUUGUUCGGAAUCACUGGGCUUAAAGGGCGCGUAGGCGGGCUGACAAGUCUGGGGUGAAAUGCCGCGGCUCAACCGUGGAACUGCCUUAGAUACUGUCGGCCUCGAGGAAGGUAGGGGCAUGCGGAACUGUAGGUGGAGCGGUGAAAUGCGUUGAUAUCUACAGGAACUCCGGUGGCGAAAGCGGCGUGCUGGACCUUUUCUGACGCUGAGGCGCGAAAGCUAGGGGAGCAAACGGGG